Molecule: ribosomal RNA, 430 nt
Filed under: Pseudomonadota bacterium
Lineage: Bacteria; Pseudomonadati; Pseudomonadota
Description: Proteobacteria bacterium partial 16S ribosomal RNA
Rfam family: Bacterial small subunit ribosomal RNA
Source: RNAcentral
UGGGGAAUAUUGGACAAUGGGCGCAAGCCUGAUCCAGCCAUGCCGCGUGUGUGAAGAAGGCCUUAUGGUUGUAAAGCACUUUAAGCGAGGAGGAGGCUACUUUAGUUAAUACCUAGAGAUAGUGGACGUUACUCGCAGAAUAAGCACCGGCUAACUCUGUGCCAGCAGCCGCGGUAAUACAGAGGGUGCAAGCGUUAAUCGGAUUUACUGGGCGUAAAGCGCGCGUAGGCGGCUAAUUAAGUCAAAUGUGAAAUCCCCGAGCUUAACUUGGGAAUUGCAUUCGAUACUGGUUAGCUAGAGUGUGGGAGAGGAUGGUAGAAUUCCAGGUGUAGCGGUGAAAUGCGUAGAGAUCUGGAGGAAUACCGUUGGCGAAGGCAGCCAUCUGGCCUAACACUGACGCUGAGGUGCGAAAGCAUGGGGAGCAAACAGG